UCGCAAGACAUCACUUUUCCCUCGCGACCCACAAAGGAUUGUCCCAUGAUCUGUUACUUUUUUGAACCUUUUUUCUGUUAUUGUUUCAGUUAAGCUGGUAUUUGUUGAUGUCCUAGCAUGAAAACACUAAGUAGGGGACGGAUUGUUUUUAAAUCUCUCCAUUCUGGGGUUAGCCAAGAAACAUGAAUUUCAGAGUUUAUAUACG
This 205-nucleotide unclassified non-coding RNA is filed under the name Hevea brasiliensis (rubber tree). Lineage: Eukaryota; Viridiplantae; Streptophyta; Magnoliopsida; Malpighiales; Euphorbiaceae. The record is from RNAcentral.